This is a non-coding RNA of Macaca mulatta (Rhesus monkey), 1017 nucleotides long. NCBI's taxonomy places the organism in Eukaryota, Metazoa, Chordata, Mammalia, Primates, Cercopithecidae. The record is from RefSeq and is a predicted model, not a curated record.
CGCCGUCCACCGCCACCACCUUGGUCACCAGGUAGCCUGGCUCGGCCGCCCGGGGCACCAGCUCGGUGCAGGGCGCGGAGCCGUUCUGCAGCGGGUACAGCACGAAGGGCGAGUUGUCGUUGGCGUCCAGCACCAGCACGCGCACCAGCGCCUCGCUGCUCAGCUCUGGGGACCCGCGGUCUGUGGCGCCCACGCGGAACUCGAACUCCUGCAGGGUCUCGUAGUCCAGCGAUCGGAGGGCGAACAGGUGGCCGUUGUCUGUGUUGAUGGAGACCAGGGAGGCGAGGGGCAGAGUCUCGGUCUCGAAUCCUAAACAGGGCCACUUCUGUCUCUGGAGAAUUCUCGGGAAUAGGGCUGAAUAGCGACGGGGUUCCCAGCCUGCCAGAGCCACUUCCAGUAAAAGAAGAAGAAUCAGGACUUGCCUUUGUUCAGGAAAGCGCUCCCCUGUAGGCUCCAUCUUUACUUCUGCACACCUCCCUUUCAAGGAAUCGGAGUCAGUGCUACUUCAGGGAGCGAUGGGACAGAGGCAGUGAUCGAUCUGCCCGUUGAUAACCUGUCCGGAAAUGUAGGAGAAUAGCAUUCUCCGGAGACACUGGUCCGUGCUCUGCUAACGGACUUCCCCCUUAGGCUGGAAGAGGUCUGAAGUAGCUCGUAGCAUUUCAUGGGCUUCGUUUCCUUUUUUUGAAGCCUUAGCCUGCAGCGCCACCAUGCGUUGUCUUUACUUCGAAACGAAUUGCUACAAUUGAUCUAUUCUCCAUUCUAUUAGGAGUUUGGAAAAUGGGAGAAAAUGAUGUAAUCACAAUAUCACGCAAUUAUAAUUAUUAAUUUCUUCAUUCAAAGGGGUAUUUUUGGUCUCUAUGUGCCAAAUUAUGAUACGCAUCAGUAAACAACCCAGACAUGGUCCCCACCGUCCAGAGCCUGUAGUCUGGGUGGGGUGCUCUGAGGGAAAUUGAGAAGUGAAAGAAGACAUAAUAGGGAUCAGUCAUCUUAUAAUAAUAAUAACCCAUAGCCACGUGA